Epinephelus moara (kelp grouper) is the source of this 1114-nucleotide long non-coding RNA. RefSeq lists it as uncharacterized. The record is from RefSeq and is a predicted model, not a curated record. NCBI's taxonomy places the organism in Eukaryota, Metazoa, Chordata, Actinopteri, Perciformes, Serranidae. The transcript has 3 exons.
CAUGUACUAACAGUGAAGGUUUAAUACAAGAGGAUAAAAAACACAAGGAGGAGGACUCUGUGCUGCAACCGAGAAAAUGGGAGGAGGAGGGAAAUACCUCAGGAUCAAGGUUACACACAGACAGAGCUCACUGGCAGCAGGGCCGGCCCUAGACUUUUGGAGGCCAAAAGCAGAUUUGGUUUGGGGGCUUCUUUAAACAUUUUCCCCUCCUUAUUUCAGAUGCAAUUUAUUUAUUUUAUAUGUUAUUUUAGUGGUUAACUUGAGUUGCCAUCAUGUUCACAUUCAUAUGGCACAAAGUGUCUCGUACUUCAGCGGCAUUUGAUAUCUGACAUGGUUGUUGAAGACUGUGAUUAAAAGCUUCAAAGGGCUCUGUAUGCACACAGUAUGUUUUGGGACAAUGUUUCAAAUACUUAACAAUAAUUUGUGCUAAAUUAUGACUGUUUUCUGAGUGUUUUCCCUUUUUUAGACUAGUCUCAAUAAAAAUUUUUGUUAAGUCGACAGAGAAAUUAGUCGCCAUGAACGUCCUUAGGAUAUACAUGAAACUACAGAAGAGACCUUCUGUUUUUAUGCACAAAAAAUAUUUCAUUCUAUCUUAUUCCAUUCCCUUUUCUAUCAACAUUUGAAUUUGUGCAUUUUCAUUUAAAAAAAUAAACAACAUUUCAGAUAAAAAAGCUGAGCAUAGACUUUAUAUAAACAUGGAUUCCGUGUCUCCACAUACUCCCACUGUAUAAAAUUGAAGCCAAAAUAUCCCAGAAAUGAUCGCUGCCAUUUUGCACUGGUGACAUCAUUUGGAACCAGAGACUGUGCAGUAGCGAUUGAUUGUUACCACACUGAUUGGCACAAACAGCUGUCAAUCUUGAUGCCACGCCCCCUUUUAUGGCAUCGAGUUGUCUUUCAAACUUCUAACCUUAGCCACUGGUUCAGUGUCAGCGAUAUUUUUUGGAGUGGCAGGGCCAGUGACAGUGGGAGUGGUGACAGGAAUUGCCUUGUACGCCAUCCUGACAAGUGAAGACAAACCACAGGCACCCGCCCCACAGAUGGAGACAAAUUAAUGACUCUAAAAUGAACUGCAAAAGCAUCAGUUGAAUCAUGACUGCAAUAAAAACGAUGGCAG